UACGGGGGGGGCAAGCGUUGUUCGGAAUUACUGGGCGUAAAGCGUGCGCAGGCGGUUAUGUAAGACAGUUGUGAAAUCCCCGGGCUCAACCUGGGAACUGCAUCUGUGACUGCAUAGCUAGAGUACGGUAGAGGGGGAUAGAAUUCCGCGUGUAGCAGUGAAAUGCGUAGAUAUGCGGAGGAACACCGAUGGCGAAGGCAAUCCCCUGGACCUGUACUGACGCUCAUGCACGAAAGCGUGGGGAGCAAACAGG
This 253-nucleotide ribosomal RNA is filed under the name uncultured bacterium. Its description in RNAcentral is "partial 16S ribosomal RNA". It matches the Rfam family "Bacterial small subunit ribosomal RNA", at positions 524 to 776 of the family's 1533-position model. The record is from RNAcentral.